This is a long non-coding RNA of Mya arenaria, 4889 nucleotides long. RefSeq lists it as uncharacterized. The record is from RefSeq and is a predicted model, not a curated record. NCBI's taxonomy places the organism in Eukaryota, Metazoa, Mollusca, Bivalvia, Myida, Myidae. The transcript is spliced from 3 exons.
ACUAUUGUGGAAAUCACAGGCAUCUGGAGCAUUGAGUUCCUAAAAUACCUCGGCCAGUAUCAAACAGGAAUUGGCCUCGGAAAUGAUAAGGUCCAUCAUGGCCUACCAAGGAGAUGUUCAAACACCCAAGCGAUAUGUUAGACCAAAGACAGGGUGAGGGGAGAACUAUUGCCACCUAUUUGUGUGGCAGUAUGGUACCAGUGGUGUGGCCGGCUCAGAAUUCCUGGCUUGUUCUGAUGAAAAAUGGCAGAAGGGGCAGUGGAAUGCAAUCAAAUAUGCCAUUGUACUGAGGAUUGACCUGCAAUACAUGGAAAACAUGUAACACAACUGCAAAGCCAAUCUGGAAGGGAAAAUAAGUAUAAGAUGUAAACAAAGUAGAACAACAUGUUCAGUGGAACAACUUGAUAUUUGAUGACUUACAUACUGAUGUGAAGUUGUAGAUAAUAGUCAACUGUUGGCCAGUGAUUAGUAAAUACAAAAAGUAUCAUUAAACCCUCGAUGCUUGUAGCAAUACAAUCCGAAGCUGGACAUUUACUUUACAACCUAGAUAGAGCCAGUCUCCUUAAUUAUGCUUGGUAGUGCUACUCAGUGGUAACCCUCUUGCAGUCAACUUUUAAAUAGUUAAAUAUCUUUUUCAGAGUAUUUGAGUGAACUUUACAUUUAAUCCGGGCACAUAUUUCUUCACUGUGGAUCAUUUUAACUGUGGAAAGUGCAUAUUUAUAUAUAUUCAUGCAACUGUGUGGUAAAGAAUUCAUCUAUGCUUAAAACGGUUUUCAUAAGAAGGAGAGAAGAUAACAGAAACAGAAACAGAUGGAAUUGGCAGAUUAAUUAAAGAAAAACGAUUUUGUUUAGUUCAAUUUAAAAUAAUUAAGUCCUAAUAGGGCACAUGCCAUAUUGUAAAUUGGGCUCUUUAAAAUGUGAAAAGGUGAAUGUGGUCUAGAGGAUAAGCCUAGGUGUCAGCCUCAAAUCCAAGGUUGUGGAUUGACGGUUCAAGCCCCACCAAGAUACUUUCUGAUGGCCUCAGAAAAAGGAUGUCUGUACUAGUUUCUACUAAGGCCACAGACUUGAGAGUGAUUAUGCAAGCUUUCAGCUUGCGUAGCAAUCUGGCUGAAAUGAUUAUGUUUAAAAUAAGAUACUUGCUGACUUUCAAACAGUUUUUUCCAUUUGUGUUGUUUUGUUUUUCAGUCUGUAAGAAUGUUUAUUAGAAGUGAUGAGCAUUGCUUACUGCAACUAAAAUUAAUUUUUAGCUUGACUAUUCGAAGAAUAGGUGGGCAAUACUACUCGCCCCAGCGUCGGCGUCCGGUUAAAGUUUUGGGGCAAGUUGGGAUUUUCGCUACAAUACUCUUCAUUCAAUUGACUUAAUACUUCACACCAGGGCCAUCACAUGAUGAGGUUAGAUAACUCCAUAUUAUUCUUUACACAGAUUAUGGCCCAUGAUUGACUAUGGAACUUAGGUUAAAGUUUUAGGGCAGGUUGGGAUAUUUAUAAAUAACUUCUAUACCCUUUAUUCAAUUGACUUUAUACUUCACACAGUUGUUCAGGACCAUCACACAAUGAGGUUACAUAACCCCAUAUUAUCCUUAAUACAAGUUAUGGCCCCUGAUUGACUUAGGUUAAAGUUUUAGGGCAGGUUAAAGUUUUAGGGCAAGUUGGGAUUUUCACUUAAAACUCCAAUACCAUUCAUUCAAUUGACUUAAUACUUCACACAGUUAUUCAGAGCCAUCACAUAAUAAGGUUAGAUAACUCCAUAUUAUCUUUUAUACAAAUUAUGGCCCUUGAUUGACUAUGGAACUAAGGUUAAAGUUUUAGGGCAGGUUGGGAUAUUUAUUAAUUAUUUCUAUACCCUUCAUUCAAUUGACUUAAUACUUCACACAAUUGUUCAGGACCGUUACUCAAUGAGGUUACAUAACUCCAUAUCCUUAAUACAAUUGCCCCUGAUUGACUUAGGUUAAAGUUUUAGGCAAGUAAAAGUUAAGGGGAAGUUGGGAUUUUAAUAAAAAAAAACUUCUAUACCGUUCAUUCAAUGCACUUAAUAAAAUUCAAAAUUAUUUACGACCAUCUUACAACAAGCAACAUAACUCCAUUUUAACCCUUAAUACAAAUUGUGGCCCUUGUUUUUUUUUUAUUGUUUUUUUAAAUUUCUUUUGAAAGGCAUAUUUGUAUAUUCUUAACUACAUUUUCAUAUGGGAAAUCAAGUUAUUUGAAUGACUUGGGUCAUUGUUCGGGCGGGCUGGUGGGAGGGCAGCUUCAAAGUCACCUCAUGUAUUGAAUUAUUUUAGUUGGGUUUGACAUAAAGAGACCAAACUUGGUAAUAUUACAUCGUUAUUGUAUUCACUUUUAAGUCAAAGUGGCGUAGUCAAGCGCGCUGCCUUAUGACGGCUCUUGUCUUUAUUAAGUUGAAUUUAAUGCACAUAACAUGACUUGUGAUUUUACUGAUACAAUUUUAGCUCACCAGAGCAGGAUGUGCUCAAGGUGAGCUAUUGUGAUCGGUCUUUGUCCAUCAUCUGUCCGUCAACAAUUGCUUAACAAACAUCUCCUCUGAAACUAUCUGGCGAAAUUCAAUGAAACUUCACUGGAAGCUUCCUUGGGUGUCCCUCUAAAAAAAUACAACAAAGGGUUACAAUUGAUUAACAACAAGAACAACAACAAAAUGGCCUACUUCCUGUUUUGCUUUAAAAAAACAGCUCCUCUGAAACUACCAAUCCAAUUCAAUGAAACUUUACAGGAAGCUUCCUUGGGUGACCUACAAAUUACAACAAGGGUUCACGAUUGAUCAACAACAACAACAAAAUGGCCAACUUCCUGUUUUGCUUAAAAAAACAUAUCCUUUAAAACUACCAGUCCAAAUUCAAUGAAACUUUACAGGAAGCUUCCUAGGGUAACCUUGUACAAAAAUACAACAAGGGGUCAUGAUUGAUCAACAACAACAACAACAAUCUGAUGUUAAAAUAUUUUUUUAGUUAUGUAAAGUUUACUCUUAUGCAAGGGCUGCAAACCUUGCUCUAUGGUCUCCCUUUCUGUUGAACAGUGUAUUGUCUAUUUUUAGUUUUUCUAUUUUUAGUAACAAGGGAUUAAAUGUUAUAUUUUUACUUUUUUAGGUAACAAAAGCACAAAGUGCUGAAGGUGAGCUUUUGUGAUCGGUCUUUGUCCGGCGUCUGGCCGUCAGUCCGUCCGUCAGUCAGUCCGUCUGUUCGUCAACAAUUGCUUAAAUAAUUUCUCCUCUGAAACUACCUGGCUAAAUUCAAUGAAACUUCUCAGAAAGCUUCCUUAGGUGACCAUCUACUAAAACACAACAAGGGAUCACGAUUGAUCAACAACAACAACAACAAAAUGGCUGACUUCCUGUUUUGCUUAAAAAAACAUCUCCUCUGAAACUACCGCUUCAAAUUCAAUGAAACUUUACAAGAAGCUUCCUUGGGUGACCCUCUAUAAAAAAACAACAAGGAGUCACGAUUGAUCAACAACAACAAUGACAGCAACAACAACAAAAUGGCUGACUUUUUUAGCUUUAAAAAUCAUCUCCUCUUAAACUACAGUUCUAAAUUCAAUGAACUUUACAGGCAGCUUCCUUGUGUGACCUUCUACAAAAAUACAACAAGGGGUCACGAUUAAUCAACAACAACAACAAUUACAGCAACAACAACAAAAUGGCUAACUUCCUAUUUUGCUUUGAAAAAAUAUCUCCUCUAAACCUACCAGUCCAAAUUCUAUUAAACUUUACAGAAAGCUUCCUUAAGUGACCCUCUAUAAAAAAAAAUACACCAAAGAUCAUGAUUGACCAACAACAUCAAAAUGUUAAAACUGAUAGUUUUGUAAAGUUUACUCUUGAAGCAAGGGCAGCUAAUCUUGCUACAUGGUCUCCCUUUUUGAUGGAGAUUCCACUUUUUUCUAUUUUAGUAACAAGGGAGUAAAUUUUAAAUUGUAUUAAGUCUUAAACAGUCACUUAAAUUUAUUGCUCAUUUUUUUUGGUUCAUAGAUUCAAAUAAUUAUUAUAAACUUUAUUCUUUAGAAGGAAUUUCAUUUUUACUAAAUAAUAAAUUUAAUAAUCAGACUUUCCCAUUGUACUUCAUGUAGAUUAUUCUAAGCUACAAUCUUAUCUUCUGUGUGGAUAGUGAAUAAGCCUUUAUGGAUUUAAAGAAAAUUUGGUUUUGAACAUGUGAAGGAAGGUGAUGUUGACAUAGAUGGAAGAAGCAAUGAUAUUAGUGGAAGGUGCUUAAUGUAUUCUGAUAUUUGUUUAUUAGAGCUUAAGGCACUUUAUUGAUUUUAUUGGAUGGUGCAUUGUUUGUUGUUUGUGUAUCUAUCCUAAAAACUCUUUCAGUGUGCUUGCAAUUUAACAUAGUUUUGUUAGUGUGCAGGCAAUUGAAGAAGUCCUGUGUGUGUGCAGGCAAUUGAACAAAGUCCUGUCAGUGUGCAGGCAACUGAAAAAAGUCCUGUCAUUGUGCAGGUAUCUGUACCAAGUGCUGUCAGUGUGCAGUCAAUUAUCAAGUCCUGUCAGUGUGCAGGUAACUGAACAAAAUCCUGUCAGUAUGCAGAUAUGAGAAUAAAAUUCUGUCAGUGUGUAGUCAUUCAUCAAGUCCUGUCAGUGCGCAGGCAACUGAAUGAAAUCCUGUCAGUGUGAAGUCAAUCACCAAGUCCUGUCAGUGUGCAUGAAACUGUGACAAGUCCUGUCAGUGUGCAGGCAACUGUGACAAGUCCUGUCAUUGAUUAUCCAGGCAACAUGUUAGAUCAGUAUAUUUUUCAAUAUUCUUUGAGAACAAAUAUCAAGCUUUAUUGAUUACAACGGUUAAACUCUUUUACUCAGGUGAGCGAUUUAAGGGCCAUCAUGGCCCUCUUGUUAUUUCAUUGAUUGUAUGGGUGUAUUUUCUAAAAUCAUUGAAUGAUGUAAUAAA